UUGUUGGAGAGUUUGAUCCUGGCUCAGGACGAACGCUGGCGGCGUGCUUCACACAUGCAAGUCGAACGGAAAGGCUCCUUCGGGAGUACUCGAGUGGCGAACGGGUGAGUAACACGUGAGUAACCUGCCUCAGACUUUGGGAUAACUCGUGGAAACGCGGGCUAAUACCGGAUAUUCACAUUCCCACGCAUGUGGGGGUGUGGAAAGGGUUUCUGGUUUGAGAGGGGCUUGCGGCCUAUCAGUUUGUUGGUGGGGUGAUGGCCUACCAAGACGUUGACGGGUAACCGGCCUGAGAGGGCGGUCGGUCACAUUGGGACUGAGAUACGGCCCAGACUCCUACGGGAGGCAGCAGUGGGGAAUAUUGCACAAUGGGCGAAAGCCUGAUGCAGCGACGCCGCGUGAGGGAUGACGGCUUUCGGGUUGUAAACCUCUUUUAUUUCUGACGAAGGCACAGGUUUUCUUGUGUUGACGGUAGGUUAUGAAUAAGCUCCGGCUAACUACGUGCCAGCAGCCGCGGUAAGACGUAGGGGGCAAGCGUUGUCCGGAAUUAUUGGGCGUAAAGGGCUCGUAGGCGGCCUGUCGCGUCUGGCGUGAAAGGCCUCGGCUUAACCGGGGUUUUGCGUCGGAUACGGGCGGGCUUGAGGCAAGUAGGGGAGACUGGAAUUCCGCGUGUAGCGGUGGAAUGCGCAGAUAUGCGGAGGAAUACCGGUGGCGAAGGCGGGUCUCUGGGCUUGUACUGACGCUGAGGAGCGAAAGCAUGGGGAGCGAACAGGAUUAGAUACCCUGGUAGUCCAUGCUGUAAACGGUGGGCGCUAGGUGUGGGGCAGCAUUUGUUUGUUCUGUGCCGUAGCUAACGCAUUAAGCGCCCCGCCUGGGGAGUACGGCCGCAAGGCUAAAACUCAAAGGAAUUGACGGGGGCCCGCACAAGCGGCGGAGCAUGCGGAUUAAUUCGAUGCAACGCGAAGAACCUUACCUGGGUUUGACAUCACCCGGACUGCCCUAGAGAUAGGGUUUUCUUCGGACUGGGUGACAGGUGGUGCAUGGCUGUCGUCAGCUCGUGUCGUGAGAUGUUGGGUUAAGUCCCGCAACGAGCGCAACCCUUAUCCUGUAUUGCCAGCACGUUAUGGUGGGGACUUGCAGGAGACUGCCGGGGUUAACUCGGAGGAAGGUGGGGAUGAGGUCAAGUCAUCAUGCCCCUUAUGUCCAGGGCUUCACGCAUGCUACAAUGGACGGUACAGCGGGUUGCGAAGCCGUGAGGUGGAGCGAAUCUCUGUAAAGCCGUUCUCAGUUCGGAUCGAAGUCUGCAACUCGACUUCGUGAAGUUGGAGUCGCUAGUAAUCGCAGAUCAGCAACGCUGCGGUGAAUACGUUCUCGGGCCUUGUACACACCGCCCGUCACGUCACGAAAGUUGGCAACACCCGAAGCCCACGGCCCAACCAGAUUUAUCUGGGGGGAGUGGUCGAAGGUGGGGCUGGCAAUUGGGACGAAGUCGUAACAAGGUAGCCGUACCGGAAGGUGCGGCUGGAUCACCUCCUUU
This 1537-nucleotide ribosomal RNA is filed under the name Natronoglycomyces albus. Its description in RNAcentral is "Bacterial small subunit ribosomal RNA". It matches the Rfam family "Bacterial small subunit ribosomal RNA". Lineage: Bacteria; Bacillati; Actinomycetota; Actinomycetes; Glycomycetales; Glycomycetaceae. The record is from Rfam by way of RNAcentral.